This 408-nucleotide ribosomal RNA is filed under the name uncultured bacterium. RNAcentral's name for it is "bacterial SSU rRNA". It matches the Rfam family "Bacterial small subunit ribosomal RNA", at positions 78 to 480 of the family's 1533-position model. The record is from RNAcentral.
GCUUGCACUUUGAUGACGAGUGGCGCACGGGUGCGUAACGCGUAUAGAACCUACCCUGUACAGGGGGAUAGCCCAGAGAAAUUUGGAUUAAUACCCCGUGGUAACUAUAAAUGGCAUCAUUUAUAGUUUAAAGUUUUCGGACGGUACAGGAUGGCUAUGCGUCCUAUUAGUUAGGUGGUGAGGUAACGGCCCACCAUGGCAUCGAUAGGUAGGGGCCCUGAGAGGGGGAUCCCCCACACUGGUACUGACACACGGACCAGACUCCUACGGGAGGCAGCAGUGAGGAAUAUUGGACAAUGGGCGUAAGCCUGAUCCAGCCAUGCCGCGUGCAGGAAGACGGCCCUAUGGGUUGUAAACUGCUUUUAUACGGGAAGAAUAAGGGACACGAGUGUCCUGGUGACGGUACCG